GACGAACGCUGGCGGCGUGCUUAACACAUGCAAGUCGAACGGAAAGGCCCUGCUUUUGUGGGGUGCUCGAGUGGCGAACGGGUGAGUAACACGUGAGUAACCUGCCCUUGACUUUGGGAUAACUUCAGGAAACUGGGGCUAAUACCGGAUAGGAGCUCCUGCUGCAUGGUGGGGGUUGGAAAGUUUCGGCGGUUGGGGAUGGACUCGCGGCUUAUCAGCUUGUUGGUGGGGUAGUGGCUUACCAAGGCUUUGACGGGUAGGCGGCCUGAGAGGGUGACCGGCCACAUUGGGACUGAGAUACGGCCCAGACGCCUACGGGAGGCAGUAGGGGGGAAUAUUGCACAAUGGGCGGAAGCCUGAUGCAGCAACGCCGCGUGCGGGAUGACGGCCUUCGGGUUGUAAACCGCUUGCGCCUGUGACGAAGCGUGAGUGACGGUAAUGGGUAAAGAAGCACCGGCUAACUACGUG
Molecule: ribosomal RNA, 468 nt
Filed under: uncultured bacterium
Lineage: Bacteria
Description: partial 16S ribosomal RNA
Rfam family: Bacterial small subunit ribosomal RNA
Source: RNAcentral